AACGAACGCUGGCGGCAUGCCUAACACAUGCAAGUCGAACGAGACCUUCGGGUCUAGUGGCGCACGGGUGCGUAACGCGUGGGAACCUGCCCUUAGGUUCGGAAUAACUCCCCGAAAGGGGUGCUAAUACCGGAUAAUGUCUUCGGACCAAAGAUUUAUCGCCUUUGGAUGGGCCCGUGUUGGAUUAGCUAGUCGGUAGGGUAAAAGCCUACCAAGGCGACGAUCCAUAGCUGGUCUGAGAGGAUGAUCAGCCACACUGGGACUGAGACACGGCCCAGACUCCUACGGGAGGCAGCAGUGGGGAAUAUUGGACAAUGGGCGAAAGCCUGAUCCAGCAAUGCCGCGUGAGUGAUGAAGGCCUUAGGGUUGUAAAGCUCUUUUACCCGGGAUGAUAAUGACAGUACCGGGAGAAUAAGCUCCGGCUAACUCCGUG
Molecule: ribosomal RNA, 433 nt
Filed under: uncultured bacterium
Lineage: Bacteria
Description: partial 16S ribosomal RNA
Rfam family: Bacterial small subunit ribosomal RNA
Source: RNAcentral